RNAcentral lists this ribosomal RNA (117 nucleotides) under Pelodiscus sinensis (Chinese soft-shelled turtle). Lineage: Eukaryota; Metazoa; Chordata; Testudines; Trionychidae. The record is from RNAcentral.
GCCUGUAGCUAUACCACCUCAGGUCAUGAGUAUGCCUGGUCUCACAAACUAAACAAGACAGAGAGUGCUUAGUAUUUGAAUAAGUGAUCUCCUUGGAAACCCCAGAUGCUGCAGGAA